CACGUAGGGGGCGAGCGUUGUCCGGAUUUAUUUGGCGUAAAGAGCUCGUAGGCGGCUCGGUAAGUCAGGUGUGAAACCUCCAGGCUCAACCUGGAGACGCCACCUGAUACUGCCGUGGCUAGAGUCCGGUAGAGGAGCGUAGAAUUCCUGGUGUAGCGGUGAAAUGCGCAGAUAUCAGGAGGAACACCGGUGGCGAAGGCGGGUCUCUGGGCCGAUACUGACGCUGAGGAGCGAAAGCGUGGGGAGCGAACAGG
This 254-nucleotide ribosomal RNA is filed under the name uncultured bacterium. RNAcentral's name for it is "partial 16S ribosomal RNA". It matches the Rfam family "Bacterial small subunit ribosomal RNA", at positions 524 to 776 of the family's 1533-position model. The record is from RNAcentral.